This 449-nucleotide ribosomal RNA is filed under the name uncultured bacterium. RNAcentral's name for it is "partial 16S ribosomal RNA". It matches the Rfam family "Bacterial small subunit ribosomal RNA", at positions 29 to 523 of the family's 1533-position model. The record is from RNAcentral.
AACGAACGCUGGCGGCAUGCCUAAUACAUGCAAGUCGAACGAGAUCUUCGGAUCUAGUGGCGCACGGGUGCGUAACGCGUGGGAAUCUGCCCUUGGGUUCGGAAUAACAGCGGGAAACUGCUGCUAAUACCGGAUGAUGACGUAAGUCCAAAGAUUUAUCGCCCAGGGAUGAGCCCGCGUAGGAUUAGGUAGUUGGUGGGGUAAAGGCCUACCAAGCCUACGAUCCUUAGCUGGUCUGAGAGGAUGAUCAGCCACACUGGGACUGAGACACGGCCCAGACUCCUACGGGAGGCAGCAGUAGGGAAUAUUGGACAAUGGGGGCAACCCUGAUCCAGCAAUGCCGCGUGAGUGAUGAAGGCCUUAGGGUUGUAAAGCUCUUUUACCCGGGAUGAUAAUGACAGUACCAGGAGAAUAAGCCCCGGCUAACUCCGUGCCAGCCGCCGCGGUAA